UACCUCAUUCUCUUUUUUCUGCUGAAGCUCAGAUGCCUUGCAGGAAGCCCAAAGUUCUCUCCUCCCUGCACCCCCGUUGCUGCUCCCCUCAAAAGGGCCUCUUAUCCCUUUUCCCUGGUGGAGUCUUCCUACUAUCGGGCUUUGAGCACUCAUAAGAC
This is a non-coding RNA of Otolemur garnettii (small-eared galago), 158 nucleotides long. NCBI's taxonomy places the organism in Eukaryota, Metazoa, Chordata, Mammalia, Primates, Galagidae. The record is from Rfam.